RNAcentral lists this ribosomal RNA (434 nucleotides) under uncultured bacterium. RNAcentral's name for it is "bacterial SSU rRNA". It matches the Rfam family "Bacterial small subunit ribosomal RNA", at positions 356 to 786 of the family's 1533-position model. The record is from RNAcentral.
UAGGAAUUUUCGUCAAUGGGGACCGUGCACGAGCAAUGCCGCGUGUGUGAAGAAGGUCUUCGGAUCGUAAAGCACUGUUGUAAGUGAAGAAUGCCAUAUAGAGGAAAUGCUAUGUGGGUGACGGUAGCUUACCAGAAAGCCACGGCUAACUACGUGCCAGCAGCCGCGGUAAUACGUAGGUGGCAAGCGUUAUCCGGAAUCAUUGGGCGUAAAGGGUGCGUAGGUGGCACGAUAAGUCUGAAGUAAAAGGCAACAGCUCAACUGUUGUAUGCUUUGGAAACUGUCGAGCUAGAGUGCAGAAGAGGGCGAUGGAAUUCCAUGUGUAGCGGUAAAAUGCGUAGAUAUAUGGAGGAACACCAGUGGCGAAGGCGGUCGCCUGGUCUGUAACUGACACUGAUGCACGAAAGCGUGGGGAGCAAAUAGGAUUAGAUACC